CUCUGUUAGCUGAGGGCACUGACCCAUAGGCCAAACAGGUGUGUUGCCAGCUCUAAGGUGGCAGGUUGUAACAGGUGACGUGGGACUGAGCAGUCUGGAAGAAGGUGGUUGAGAUGAGCUCUCCUGGAGGGAUCUGGGAAAACCUUGAAGAGGAGGAUGGAUUUGAAUUGUGACAAGAACAAGAAGAGGGAAAGACAACAGGGAUGUAAGCACAAUGAGAAAAGAGCCAGCAAGGGAAUGGCCAUCUGCAAGGAGAGAGACCUUCGAAGAACCCAACCCUGCCUGCACCUUGAUCUGGGACUUCCAGCCCCCAGGAUGAUGAUAUUGACCGUGUUCUUGAGCAACAACGAACAGAUUCUAACAGAAGUUCCUAUAACACCAGAGACAACAUGUCGAGAUGUUGUAGAAUUUUGCAAGGAACCUGGAGAAGGCAGUUGCCAUUUAGCUGAAGUGUGGAGGGGAAAUGAGCGUCCCAUACCCUUUGAUCACAUGAUGUAUGAACAUCUUCAGAAAUGGGGGCCGCGCAGGGAAGAAGUGAAGUUUUUCCUUCGGCACGAGGAUUCCCCCACCGAGAGCAUUGAGCAAGGCGGCCGUCAGACCCAAGAGCAGAGAACUCAGAGGAAUGUAAUAAAUGUUCCUGCAGAGAAACGCACAGAAAAUGGCGUUGGAAGCGCACGUGUAGAGCUCACCCUCUCCGAGCUCCAGGAUAUGGCGGCCAGGCAGCAGCAGCAAAUUGAAAAUCAGCAGCAAAUGUUGGUUGCCAAGGAGCAGCGUUUACACUUCCUAAAGCAGCAGGAACGCCGCCAGCAGCAGUCUAUUUCUGAGAACGAGAAGCUUCAGAAAUUGAAAGAACGAGUCGAGGCCCAGGAAAAUAAGCUGAAGAAAAUUCGUGCCAUGAGAGGACAAGUAGACUACAGCAAAAUUAUGAACGGCAAUCUGUCUGCUGAGAUAGAAAGGUUCAGCGCCAUGUUCCAGGAGAAGAAGCAGGAAGUGCAGACUGCGAUUUUACGAGUUGAUCAGCUCAGUCAGCAGCUGGAAGAUUUAAAGAGAGGCAAGCUGAGCGGGCUCCCGGCGUACAGCGGCAGGCUGGCGGGACCGGCGGCGGCGGAGCUGAAGAGACUGUGCCAGGAGCUCCAGAUUCGUAACCAGCUUAACCAGGAACAGACUUCAAAGCUCCAGCAGCAGAAGGAGCUCUUGAACAAACGCAACAUGGAGGUGGCCGUGAUGGACAAGCGGAUCAGUGAGCUGCGUGAGCGUCUCUAUGGGAAGAAAAUCCAGCUGAGCCGGGUGAAUGGCACGUCGUCCCCACAGUCGCCGCUGGGCACGCCUGGCAGGGUGGCUGCGGUGGGGCCUUACAUCCAGGUGCCCAGCGCAGGUAGCUACUCUGUCCCGGGGGACCCCAUAAAGCCCCAGUCUCUCACCAUUGCCUCAAGCGCUGCCCACGGAAGAUCCAAAUCCGAUGGCCACGGGAAGCCCAAAGUGAACAGCUCGUGGACAGUAUCAGACCUCGACGUCGGGCCUGACUGCGGCUCCUCAGGGCGCUCUGCAGACCCGUUUGCAAACCCCAAUGAUGGAAACUGGCCAGCACUGAAGCAAAACUCCAGCUCUUCGGCAAAGCCCACGCAGGUUGCCGGUGCAGACUGGAAGGACUCAAGCGUGGAGGGCCCCCUCAAGCAGGGGGCCGUUUCCAGCCAGCUGGCGCCCUUGUCAACUUUAGGAGCCACAGAGAAGCUGGGCAUGGAGAUGGGUAAAGUGCCACCCCCAAUCCCUGGUGUCGGCAAGCAGCCGCCUCCGAGCUAUGGGACGUACCCGAGUCCUGCGCCUGUGGGCCCAGGCUCCACGAACUCGCUGGAGAGGAGGAAGGAAGGCAGCUUGCCCAGGCCUAGCGCCGGCCUGCCUGGUCGGCAGAAACCUGGCCCGCUGCCCCCUGCAGUCACCGGCCCCCCGCCGGGCACCUCACAGCAGAUCCAGCAGAGGAUUUCUGUGCCACCGAGUCCCACGUACCCGCCGGUGGGGCUGCCUGCCUUUCCAGCUGGAGACAGCAAACCUGACCUCCCACUGACUGUGGCUAUUAGGCCCUUUCUGGCUGAUAAAGGGUCAAGGCCACAGUCCCCCAGGAAAGGACCCCAGACAGUGAAUUCAAGUUCCAUAUACUCCAUGUACCUCCAGCAAGCUACACCUCCUAAGAAUUACCAGCCAGCAGCGCACAGCACCUUAAAUAAGUCUGUGAAAGCAGUGUAUGGCAAACCUGUGCUGCCCUCGGGCUCGACGUCCCCGUCGCCGUUGCCGUUUCUCCACGGGUCAUCGGCCACAAGCACGUUGCAGUCCCAACCACCUUCAGACAGCGCUGAGAAAGAGCCAGAGCAGGACAGCCCCGCGCCGCCCGGAGACGGCAGCGCGGGCACAGGCGCCGUGGAGAGCCUGCCGCGGCCGCUCAGCCCCACCAAGCUCACCCCCAUUGUGCACUCGCCGCUGCGCUACCAGAGCGACGCCGACCUGGAGGCCCUGCGCAGGAAGCUGGCCAACGCGCCGCGGCCCCUGAAGAAGCGCAGCUCCAUCACCGAGCCUGAGGGCCCCGGCGGGCCCAACAUCCAGAAGCUGCUGUACCAGCGCUUCAACACCCUGGCGGGGGGCAUGGAGGGCACCCCUUUCUACCAGCCUAGCCCCUCGCAGGACUUCAUGGGCACGCUGGCCGACGUGGACAACGGAAACGCCACCAAUGGGAACCUGGGAGAGGCCAGCCCGGCCCAGCCCACAGCCCCGCCCCUCGCUGAGCCAGCCCCGUCUUCGGACGCCAAUGACAACGAGCUCCUUUCCCCCGAACCGGAGGGCCUCAUCUGUCCCCAGAGCACCCGCCAAACGACCGAACCUGCCGAAGAUGACAACAACAACGUGGCCACGGCCCCCCCGACGGAGCAGGUCCCUAGCCCUGGGGCCGAGGCCCCCUCGCCGGGGGAGGACCAAGCCCCCCCAGCACUGCCCCCCGCCAUGCCCCCACCAGGAGCCUCUACGCAGAGCAAACGGACCAACCUGAAGAAACCAAACUCGGAGCGGACGGGGCACGGGCUGAGGGUCCGGUUCAAUCCGCUGGCGCUGCUCCUUGAUGCUUCUCUGGAAGGGGAGUUUGACCUGGUGCAAAGGAUCAUCUAUGAGGUGGAAGACCCCAGCAAGCCCAACGACGAAGGGAUCACACCGCUGCACAACGCCGUCUGCGCCGGCCACCACCACAUCGUCCGGUUCCUGCUGGACUUCGGGGUCAACGUGAACGCCGCCGACAGCGAUGGCUGGACGCCGCUGCACUGCGCCGCCUCCUGCAAUAGCGUCCACCUCUGCAAACAGCUGGUGGAGAGCGGAGCCGCGAUCUUUGCCUCCACCAUCAGCGACAUCGAAACGGCCGCGGACAAGUGUGAGGAGAUGGAGGAAGGCUACAUGCAGUGCUCCCAGUUCCUGUACGGGGUGCAGGAGAAGCUAGGCGUGAUGAACAAAGGAGUGGUGUACGCCCUGUGGGGCUACGAGGCCCAGAACAGCGAUGAGCUGUCCUUCCACGAGGGCGACGCCAUCACCAUCCUACGGCGCAAGGACGAGAGCGAGACGGAGUGGUGGUGGGCUCGCCUCGGGGACCGGGAGGGCUACGUGCCCAGGAACCUGCUGGGGUUGUAUCCGCGGAUCAAACCCCGACAGCGCACGCUGGCCUGAACUUGCCGUUGGAGCACUGCCCGGGCUCGCCAGCCGAUGGGCCGCCAGAAAGGUAGCUCUGCCGUUUCCCCAGGAAAGCUGAAGCCGGACACGGUUGAUAAUGGUGCUCACUUUAGCAGACGGCGUCCGCGAUGUGAAGUUCCCGCAGCUUCUGGGGAAAACUUGCGACCACAGUGAGGCGUGCCCUCUGCUCGAGCUUGCCCUCCUGUCACCGGAAGUCCUGGCAACCCCACCGCCCUGCCCACCCUCGCCACGCACAUCUCUUCCUUCCCCUACCAAAGGAGCCCCUGUAUGGAAACUUCUGUCAGUGGUGGUGCUUGGUGCGUGUGUCCCGGGCAUUGCGUCAGUCACCCUCAUGCAGGCCGAUGGUGCUGGACCGGGCCACCGUGGCCCAGGCGCCAGAGCCCUUAAUACCAAGCGGCAAACAAUCAGGAGCCCCCAGAUGGCACUGUCCCUCCUCUGCUCGCAGCACGGCCUUCCCUGCAGCAGCCCACGGGCCGGGGUAGGGCAGCCGUCGGGGGUGGGG
Mustela lutreola (European mink) is the source of this 4222-nucleotide RNA transcript. It is a transcript of the gene named protein phosphatase 1 regulatory subunit 13B, with no coding region annotated. The transcript has 20 exons. The record is from RefSeq and is a predicted model, not a curated record. Lineage: Eukaryota; Metazoa; Chordata; Mammalia; Carnivora; Mustelidae.